RNAcentral lists this ribosomal RNA (253 nucleotides) under uncultured bacterium. Its description in RNAcentral is "partial 16S ribosomal RNA". It matches the Rfam family "Bacterial small subunit ribosomal RNA", at positions 524 to 776 of the family's 1533-position model. The record is from RNAcentral.
UACGGAGGGUGCAAACGUUGCUCGGAAUCAUUGGGCGUAAAGCGCACGUAGGCGGCUUUGCAAGUCGGGUGUGAAAGCCCUCAGCUCAACUGAGGAAGUGCACCCGAAACUGGCGAGCUUGAGUACGAAAGAGGAUCGCGGAAUUCCCGGUGUAGAGGUGAAAUUCGUAGAUAUCGGGAGGAACACCGGUGGCGAAGGCGGCGAUCUGGGUCGAUACUGACGCUGAGGUGCGAAAGCGUGGGGAGCAAACAGG